CAUAGCCGGACAAAGUAACCCUUUGGGUGAAAUCAGCGCACAAGCAGAAGGAGCGCAAGACCUACCCUCUAUGGGGGAAUCAGGCCCCCGAUGUUAUGAGCCGGACGCUUCUUGCAUGGGCGGCUAAUGUGCGAUAACCGCUUUCAUGGCUACUAACUAUGCAGCUACAACCGCACCCUACAAUCUGCUGUACGGGAGGCCAACAUGACAAGUAACGAAC
This 220-nucleotide non-coding RNA is filed under the name unclassified sequences. RNAcentral describes it as "RT-2 RNA". It matches the Rfam family "RT-2 RNA". Rfam says of the family: Coriobacteriales (Actinobacteria), Clostridiales (Firmicutes). The record is from Rfam by way of RNAcentral.